Molecule: ribosomal RNA, 662 nt
Filed under: uncultured Bacteroidota bacterium
Lineage: Bacteria; Pseudomonadati; Bacteroidota
Description: bacterial SSU rRNA
Rfam family: Bacterial small subunit ribosomal RNA
Source: RNAcentral
GACGACCGGCGCACGGGUGAGUAUCGCGUAUGCAACCUUCCUUUAACUGGGGGAUAGCCCGGAGAAAUUCGGAUUAAUACCCCAUAACAUCACGAAAACGCAUGUUUUUGUGAUUAAAGCUCCGGCGGUUAAAGAUGGGCAUGCGUGCCAUUAGCUUGUUGGUAAGGUAACGGCUUACCAAGGCCACGAUGGUUAGGGGGUCUGAGAGGAUGAUCCCCCACACUGGUACUGAGACACGGACCAGACUCCUACGGGAGGCAGCAGUGAGGAAUAUUGGGCAAUGGGCGCAAGCCUGACCCAGCCAUGCCGCGUGAAGGAUGAAUGCCCUACGGGUUGUAAACUUCUUUUGUACGGGACGAAACUUCCGAUCGUGAUCGGAACUGACUGUACCGUUCGAAUAAGCAUCGGCUAACUCCGUGCCAGCAGCCGCGGUAAUACGAAGGAUGCAAGCGUUAUCCGGAUUCAUUGGGUUUAAAGGGUGCGUAGGCGGAAUAGUAAGUCAGUGGUGAAAGCCUGCGGCUCAACCGUAGAAUUGCCAUUGAUACUGUUAUUCUUGAGUAUAGUUGAGGUGGGCGGAAUGUGUAAUGUAGCGGUGAAAUGCUUAGAUAUUACACAGAACACCAAUUGCGAAGGCAGCUCACUAAACUGUCACUGACGCUGAG